UUUUUGUUAUGUUCGUAGAAUUAUUCUUUCAUUAUGAACUUUGUUCUUGCUUUUAUUCAUCAUCAUCUAAUUUUCGUAUUCCUGUUCGUGUAGGGGUUGUUUGGAAGGUAAUGUCAAAGAAUACCAUAUCUUUGUCUAUGGUUACAUCACCUUUCGAUCUAGGUAUUUCAAUUUUUGUUUAAAUUUUAGAUUGAUUAUUCAUUAAAAUUAUAUAUUUCGUUGUUAUAUUGGUUGUUUUGUUGUAGACGAUGUUUGAGAAGACGUUACAUUGCUAUCUACAAAUUCAAUAUCUAAACUGCAAGGUUGGAUGGAAAACAAUUCGAUGGAUGGUAUACUGAACUUUGUUCUUUCUUUUAUUCAUCAUCCUCUAAUUUCCGUUUUCCUGUUCGUGUAGGGGUUGUUUGUAAGUUAAUGUCAAAGAAUACCGC
RNAcentral lists this long non-coding RNA (428 nucleotides) under Capsella rubella. Its description in RNAcentral is "long non-coding RNA (CRUB_LNC000599)". The record is from RNAcentral. Lineage: Eukaryota; Viridiplantae; Streptophyta; Magnoliopsida; Brassicales; Brassicaceae.